This 497-nucleotide ribosomal RNA is filed under the name uncultured bacterium. Its description in RNAcentral is "partial 16S ribosomal RNA". It matches the Rfam family "Bacterial small subunit ribosomal RNA", at positions 28 to 507 of the family's 1533-position model. The record is from RNAcentral.
GAUGAACGCUGGCGGCGUGCCUAAUACAUGCCAGUCGAGCGAACAGAUGAGGAGCUUGCUCCUCUGACGUUAGCGGCGGACGGGUGAGUAACACGUGGAUAACCUACCUAUAAGACUGGGAUAACUUCGGGAAACCGGAGCUAAUACCGGAUAAUAUAUUGAACCGCAUGGUUCAAUAGUGAAAGACGGUUUUGCUGUCACUUAUAGAUGGAUCCGCGCCGCAUUAGCUAGUUGGUAAGGUAACGGCUUACCAAGGCAACGAUGCGUAGCCGACCUGAGAGGGGGAUAGGCCACACUGGAACGGAGACACGGACCAGACUCCUACGGGAGGCAGCAGUAGGGAAUGUUCCGCAAUGGGCGAAAGCCUGACGGAGCAACGGCGCGUGAGUGAUGAAGGUCUUCGGAUCGUAAAACUCUGUUAUUAGGGAAGAACAAAUGUGUAAGUAACUAUGCACGUCUUGACGGUACCUAAUCAGAAAGCCACGGCUAACUACGUG